CUCUCUACCCUUUGUGAACUAUUAUACCUGUUGCUUCGGCGGCGCCCGCGAGGGUGCCCGCCGGUCUCAUCAGAAUCUCUGUUUUCGAACCCGACGAUACUUCUGAGUGUUCUUAGCGAACUGUCAAAACUUUUAACAACGGAUCUCUUGGCUCCAGCAUCGAUGAAGAACGCAGCGAAACGCGAUAUGUAAUGUGAAUUGCAGAAUUCAGUGAAUCAUCGAAUCUUUGAACGCACAUGGCGCCUUCCAGUAUCCUGGGAGGCAUGCCUGUCCGAGCGUCGUUUCAACCCUCGAGCCCCCGUGGCCCGGCGUUGGAGAUCUGCUACGGCAGUCUCCCAAAAUCAGUGGCGGACCCGAAGGCCCUCUCCUUUGCGCAGUAGCAUCAGCCUCGCAUUGGGAUCCCUCGGCGUCCUGCCUCUAAACCCCCCACAAGCCCGCUCCGGCGGCACCAAGGUUGACCUCGGAUCAGGUAGGAAUACCCGCUGAACUUAAGCAUAUCAAUAAGUCCGGAGGAA
RNAcentral lists this ribosomal RNA (515 nucleotides) under Plectosphaerella cucumerina. RNAcentral describes it as "eukaryotic LSU rRNA". The stretch from base 128 to 281 matches the Rfam family "5.8S ribosomal RNA". Lineage: Eukaryota; Fungi; Ascomycota; Sordariomycetes; Glomerellales; Plectosphaerellaceae. The record is from RNAcentral.